This 497-nucleotide ribosomal RNA is filed under the name uncultured bacterium. Its description in RNAcentral is "partial 16S ribosomal RNA". It matches the Rfam family "Bacterial small subunit ribosomal RNA", at positions 28 to 507 of the family's 1533-position model. The record is from RNAcentral.
GAUGAACGCUGGCGGCGUGCCUAAUUCAUGCAAGUCGAGCGAACAGACGAGGAGCUUGCUCCUUUGACGUUAGCGGCGGACGGGUGAGUAACACGUGGAUAACCUACCUAUAAGACUGGGAUAACUUCGGGAAACCGGAGCUAAUACCGGAUAACAUGUUGAACCGCAUGGUUCAACAGUGAAAGACGGUUUUGCUGUCACUUAUAGAUGGAUCCGCGCCGCAUUAGCUAGUUGGUAAGGUAACGGCUUACCAAGGCAACGAUGCGUAGCCGACCUGAGAGGGUGAUCGGCCACACUGGAACUGAGACACGGUCCAGACUCCUACGGGAGGCAGCAGUAGGGAAUCUUCCGCAAUGGGCGAAAGCCUGACGGAGCAACGCCGCGUGAGUGAAGAAGGUCUUCGGAUCGUAAAACUCUGUUAUUAGGGAAGAACAAAUGUGUAAGUAACUAUGCACGUCUUGACGGUACCUAAUCAGAAAGCCACGGCUAACUACGUG